Molecule: small nucleolar RNA, 84 nt
Filed under: Ochotona princeps (American pika)
Lineage: Eukaryota; Metazoa; Chordata; Mammalia; Lagomorpha; Ochotonidae
Description: Small nucleolar RNA SNORD116 (ENSOPRG00000023566.1)
Rfam family: Small nucleolar RNA SNORD116
About the family: HBII-85 is a member of the C/D class of snoRNAs, which contain the C (UGAUGA) and D (CUGA) box motifs. HBII-85 is encoded in a tandemly repeated array with another C/D snoRNA, HBII-52, in the Prader-Willi syndrome (PWS) region of chromosome 15.
Source: RNAcentral
GGGACAAUGAUGAUUUUCAAAUAUGCAUUCCUCGGAAUGCUGAUAAAAAAUGGAUGACAACUCUAUAUCAUCAAAUUCAGGUCC